AGGGCAGGGCGGGCAAAGCA
RNAcentral lists this unclassified non-coding RNA (20 nucleotides) under Mus musculus (house mouse). RNAcentral describes it as "oocyte_clustered_small_RNA12334". Lineage: Eukaryota; Metazoa; Chordata; Mammalia; Rodentia; Muridae. The record is from RNAcentral.